Molecule: transfer RNA, 17 nt
Filed under: Aspidoscelis sexlineatus viridis
Lineage: Eukaryota; Metazoa; Chordata; Lepidosauria; Squamata; Teiidae
Description: Aspidoscelis sexlineata viridis partial tRNA-Ala
Source: RNAcentral
CUUAAGACUUGCGCUCA